RNAcentral lists this transfer RNA (70 nucleotides) under Dysdercus decussatus. RNAcentral describes it as "tRNA-Leu". The record is from RNAcentral. Lineage: Eukaryota; Metazoa; Arthropoda; Insecta; Hemiptera; Pyrrhocoridae.
ACUAUUUUGGCAGAAAAAUUAAUGCAAUAAAUUUAGAAUUUAUUAAUGUAAUAUAAUAUUACAAAUAGUA